Molecule: long non-coding RNA, 447 nt
Filed under: Phoenix dactylifera (date palm)
Lineage: Eukaryota; Viridiplantae; Streptophyta; Magnoliopsida; Arecales; Arecaceae
Description: long non-coding RNA (PDAC_LNC021992)
Source: RNAcentral
UUUUGAGUUGAUCAUUUUCAUUGUUGCAAAUUGCUCCCCCUUGGAUGUAUAUGCUUUCCUAUAUGAUUUUCAAUUUGUUUUACAAAUUAUUUCUCUUUCUUUCUUUACUUCUCCUCUUAUUACUCUUUCUUUACUUCUCCCCCUUUUUGUUACUCUAUUUACUCUAAAGAUAUCUUUACUUCUCCCUUUACUUCUCCUAAGAUACUCUUUCUUUACUUCUCCCCCAAGAUGAUCUUUGCUUCUCCUAAAGUACUCUUUCUUUACUUCUCAAAUAAAAUACUCUUUCUUUUCUUAAAUUGAUAUACUCUUUCUUUUCUUCUCCCCCUUUUUGUUAUCAUCAAAAAAAAAAUGUAUAUAUGGGGAAAAGAUGCAAUAAAUACCAAACUUCAAACUUCAUUGAUCAAAAUAGGAACAUUUUAGUAUAUCAAAAGCAAAAGCAAAUACAAU